AAGCGAGUGGCGAACUGGUGAGUAACACGUGGGAAAUCUGCCCAGAAGCAGGGGAUAACACUUGGAAACAGGUGCUAAUACCGUAUAACAACAAAAUCCGCAUGGAUUUUGUUUGAAAGGUGGCUUCGGCUAUCACUUCUGGAUGAUCCCGCGGCGUAUUAGUUAGUUGGUGAGGUAAAGGCCCACCAAGACGAUGAUACGUAGCCGACCUGAGAGGGUAAUCGGCCACAUUGGGACUGAGACACGGCCCAAACUCCUACGGGAGGCAGCAGUAGGGAAUCUUCCACAAUGGACGAAAGUCUGAUGGAGCAAUGCCGCGUGAGUGAAGAAGGGUUUCGGCUCGUAAAACUCUGUUGUUAAAGAAGAACACCUUUGAGAGUAACUGUUCAAGGGUUGACGGUAUUUAACCAGAAAGCCACGGCUAACUACGUGCCAGCAGCCGCGGUAAUACGUAGGUGGCAAGCGUUGUCCGGAUUUAUUGGGCGUAAAGCGAGCGCAGGCGGUUUUUUAAGUCUGAUGUGAAAGCCUUCGGCUUAACCGGAGAAGUGCAUCGGAAACUGGGAGACUUGAGUGCAGAAGAGGACAGUGGAACUCCAUGUGUAGCGGUGGAAUGCGUAUAUAUAUGGAAGAACACCAGUGGCGAAGGCGGCUGUCUAGUCUGUACUGACGCUGAGGCUCGAAGCAUGGGUAGCGACAGGAUUAGAUCCCUGGUAGUCAUGCCGUAACGAUAAUGCUAUUGUUGAGGGUUCGCCCUUCAUGCUGCACUUACGCAUAAGCCUCCGCCGGGGAGACGACCGCAAGUUGAACUCAAGGAUUGACGGGGCCCGCACAGCGGUGACAUGUGGUUUAUUCUAGCUCACAGAGAACUUACAGGUCUUGAAUCCUCUGCCAUCUAGAGAUAGACGUCCCUUCGGGA
RNAcentral lists this ribosomal RNA (916 nucleotides) under Levilactobacillus brevis. RNAcentral describes it as "bacterial SSU rRNA". It matches the Rfam family "Bacterial small subunit ribosomal RNA", at positions 89 to 1026 of the family's 1533-position model. Lineage: Bacteria; Bacillati; Bacillota; Bacilli; Lactobacillales; Lactobacillaceae. The record is from RNAcentral.